AACGAACGCUGGCGGCAUGCCUAACACAUGCAAGACGAACGAGACCUUCGGGUCUAGUGGCGCACGGGUGCGUAACGCGUGGGAACCUGCCCUUAGGUUCGGAAUAACUCCCCGAAAGGGGUGCUAAUACCGGAUAAUGUCUUCGGACCAAAGAUUUAUCGCCUUUGGAUGGGCCCGCGUUGGAUUAGCUAGUUGGUAGGGUAAAAGCCUACCAAGGCGACGAUCCAUAGCUGGUCUGAGAGGAUGAUCAACCACACUGGGACUGAGACACGGCCCAGACUCCUACGGGAGGCAGCAGUGGGGAAUAUUGGACAAUGGGCGAAAGCCUGAUCCAGCAAUGCCGCGUGAGUGAUGAAGGCCUUAGGGUUGUAAAGCUCUUUUACCCGGGAUGAUAAUGACAGUACCGGGAGAAUAAGCUCCGGCUAACUCCGUG
This 433-nucleotide ribosomal RNA is filed under the name uncultured bacterium. RNAcentral's name for it is "partial 16S ribosomal RNA". It matches the Rfam family "Bacterial small subunit ribosomal RNA", at positions 29 to 507 of the family's 1533-position model. The record is from RNAcentral.